UGGCUCUCGCAUCGAUGAAGAACGCAGCGAAAUGCGAUAAGUAAUGUGAAUUGCAGAAUUCAGUGAAUCAUCGAAUCUUUGAACGCAACUUGCGCCCUCUGGUAUUCCGGAGGGCAUGCCUGUUUGAGUGUCAUGUAGCCUCAAUCCCCCGGGUUUCCGGGAAGAUUGGACUUGGGCGUCUGCCGUGCCACACGGCUCGCCUUAAAUGAAUUAGUGGGACAAUUGACUGUAAUCGGGAGUAAUAAGUUUCUCUUGAUAAAGUCUAUUGACCGCUCAUAACUUGCUUCGGCACUCUAUGACUCUGACCUCAAAUCAGGUAGGACUACCCGCUGA
Molecule: unclassified non-coding RNA, 333 nt
Filed under: uncultured fungus
Lineage: Eukaryota; Fungi
Description: partial contains 5.8S ribosomal RNA and internal transcribed spacer 2
Rfam family: 5.8S ribosomal RNA (bases 1-133)
Source: RNAcentral